CUGCUGCCUUCCGUAGGAGUCUGGUCCGUGUCUCAGUACCAGUGUGGGGGACCUUCCUCUCAGAACCCCUACUGAUCGCCGCCCCGGUGGGCCGUUACCCCGCCGGCAAGCUAAUCAGACGCAUCCCCAUCCUUUACCGGCCGAAGCCUUUGGUCAUGAAAAUAUGCAUCAACAUGACAACAUACGGUAUUAAUCCGCCUUUCGACGGGCUGUCCCAUAGUAAAGGGCAGGUUGGAUACGCGUUACUCACCCGUACGCCGGUCGCCAU
This 268-nucleotide ribosomal RNA is filed under the name uncultured bacterium. RNAcentral describes it as "partial 16S ribosomal RNA". The record is from RNAcentral.